This 273-nucleotide ribosomal RNA is filed under the name uncultured bacterium. RNAcentral describes it as "partial 16S ribosomal RNA". It matches the Rfam family "Bacterial small subunit ribosomal RNA", at positions 524 to 796 of the family's 1533-position model. The record is from RNAcentral.
UACGUAGGGGGCAAGCGUUGUCCGGAUUUAUUGGGCGUAAAGCGCUCGCAGGUGGUUCGGAACGUCGUGCGUGAAAGCCCCCGGCUCAACUGGGGAGUGUCGUGCGAAACGGUCGGACUGGAGGCCAGUAGGGGGAUGCGGAAUUCCGGGUGUAGUGGUGGAAUGCGUAGAGAUCCGGAGGAACACCAGCGGCGAAGGCGGCAUCCUGGACUGGUCCUGACACUCAGGAGCGAAAGCGUGGGGAGCGAUCCGGAUUAGAAACCCCUGUAGUCC